GAUGAUUGAUUAGGGUUUUAGUGUCGUCGGACCAGGCUUCAUUCCCCCCAAUUAUCACUCCCUCACAAUCCGAAUUAACGAAGAAGAUUUGUCCAUUUUCAACUUUUGAUCUAGGGUUUCUAUCUAUGAAUCCAUGUGAUAUAUUUCAAUAAUUCAGUGUAAAACUUAGUUCGAUCUUUAACUCUUUCUCUGACUCAAUUAUUUUUGUAGGUCUUCAAGAUCUUCUGAGUUUCAGGACAAGUUAGCAUUCAGAGAGGCUAAAUCUAUUCCUGGUCAUGAUUAAUGAUUAGGGUUAUUUACUUUCA
This 305-nucleotide non-coding RNA is filed under the name Arabidopsis thaliana (thale cress). Lineage: Eukaryota; Viridiplantae; Streptophyta; Magnoliopsida; Brassicales; Brassicaceae. The record is from RNAcentral.